AAAAUCCGUCGACUUUAAAANUCGUGAGGGUUCAAGUCCCUCUAUCCCCA
Molecule: transfer RNA, 50 nt
Filed under: Coffea augagneuri
Lineage: Eukaryota; Viridiplantae; Streptophyta; Magnoliopsida; Gentianales; Rubiaceae
Also listed under: 1 other name
Description: partial tRNA-Leu
Source: RNAcentral